GCAUUAAUGGGGUAGUGGUAACCUGGGUCGUUGCCAUUUUGAGUAUUCUUCUUAACCUCUCUCGACCCGCCGGGGGUUCGAUUCCCUCUUAAUGCA
Molecule: non-coding RNA, 96 nt
Organism: Lentinula edodes (shiitake mushroom)
Lineage: Eukaryota; Fungi; Basidiomycota; Agaricomycetes; Agaricales; Omphalotaceae
Source: the annotation of a RefSeq genome assembly